UUUAUUUUAAGAACAGAGAUUUCUCUGUUUGAAUAACUUAAGAUCGCUACGACAUAAUUUGUAACAUCAUUUUUCUCUCCCAACAUCUUAUAAUUUUAUUUACAUCUUCUAUUUCAUAGUGUUAAUAUAUUAUAUCUCUUACGUUUAAUACACUUAAAUACUUUACACGAUAUUUUUAUUGUAGUUUUACACAAACGGCAAUCUGUGUAUAUUUUUACUUGCUCUUUCUUCUUGUUCAAGUCGGCUCUUGAAUUGCUGUACGCGUUCUGUGAAGAGAAGAAAGUAAUUUAACACCAAGGUUAAGAUUGCUAAAUACACCCAAUGAAUACACAGACUUUUGGCAUUUCGCUCGACAGAACUAACAGUUUAAGCUUU
Molecule: non-coding RNA, 375 nt
Organism: Paramuricea clavata
Lineage: Eukaryota; Metazoa; Cnidaria; Anthozoa; Malacalcyonacea; Plexauridae
Source: the annotation of a GenBank genome assembly